UUGCCAUACAACUUGAUUGUUGUUGGUACUAAUCGCCGGGUUUGUCUCACAACUGGAAAAUUUUAUAUUUUCUCAGGACUGAGUAAGCUUGGUUAGAAUGUUAAUGUACUUGUGCGAAUCUAGUUAAAGGCUUCUCCAGUUCUCUUAUUGCUAGACUGUGCUGGUGUUUUGCUACUAGCCACAAAGUUUACAUUAGAUAAAAUUUUUCAAAACUGAAAAAUUAUUUAUCAUACUUG
RNAcentral lists this unclassified non-coding RNA (236 nucleotides) under Dicyrtomina minuta. RNAcentral's name for it is "sequence contains ITS2". The record is from RNAcentral. Lineage: Eukaryota; Metazoa; Arthropoda; Collembola; Symphypleona; Dicyrtomidae.